UUGAGAGUUUGAUCCUGGCUCAGGAUGAACGCUGGCGGCGUGGAUAAGGCAUGCAAGUCGAACGAGCCUUUGGCUCGAACAAUUGACAGUUAACAAUCAACACUUAACUACAAAAAACAUGCAAACGUUCAGAUUCUUAGACUUUCCUGUUUAUAAAGAUUCUAAGAAAUUCUAUAGAAUGGUAGUUGGUGUUACGGAAAAAUUUUCGAAAACUCAUAAUGACUUGGUCAGGCAGUUAAUAAGAGCGGUUUUAUCCGUUUCGUUGAACAUAGCGGAAGGAUCGGCGAAGAAAUCAGAUAAGGAUUUCAAUCGUUAUAUCGAAAACGCUUUGGGUUCAAUCAAUGAAUCGGUUGCCGCUUUGGAUAUAGCUUACGAAAGUUCACUUAUAAAUUUAGAUUGUUUUAAAUUUUUGAAACAAUCGGCGGAACAAAUCGCCAAACAACUUGGCGGGUUGUCGAAAAAAUUAAAAGGUUAAUUGUAAAAAGUUAAGUGUUAAUUGUUCGAGUUGAAGGCGAGUGGCAAACGGGUUAGUAACGCGUAGGCAACUUACCUUGAAGUCUUGAAUAAUUCAUCGAAAGGUGAACUAAUACAAGAUGGAAAUGAGGGGACGAAAGUCAUUCUCAUUUAAAGGGUGCAGCAAUGCACUUGCUUCUAGAGAGGCCUGCGUCCUAUCAGCUAGUUGGUGAGGUAAUGGCCCACCAAGGCUAUGACGGGUAGGGGGACUGAGAGGUUGGCCCCCAACAUCGGGACUGAGACACUGCCCGGACUCCUACGGGAGGCUGCAGUCAAGAACCUUUCUCAAUGGGCGAAAGCCUGAAGAAGCGACGCCGCGUGUAUGAAGAAGUCCUUCGGGAUGUAAAAUACUUUUGCCGCCCAACAAUUUUUGAGCGUAAGCGGCGAAUAAGGGGCUCCUAAACUCGUGCCAGCAGGAGCGGUAAUACGAGUGCCUCAAGCGUUAUCCGGAAUUACUGGGCGUAAAGCGUUUGUAGGGGGUUUUGAUAGUCCUGUGUUAAAUUCUAAGGCUUAACUUUAGAACCGCGCGGGAAACGUCAAGACUAGAGGAUAUGAGAGGCUGAUGGAA
This 1081-nucleotide ribosomal RNA is filed under the name Parcubacteria group bacterium GW2011_GWB1_42_6. Its description in RNAcentral is "bacterial SSU rRNA". It matches the Rfam family "Bacterial small subunit ribosomal RNA", at positions 5 to 666 of the family's 1533-position model. The record is from RNAcentral.